Molecule: ribosomal RNA, 271 nt
Filed under: uncultured Actinomycetales bacterium
Lineage: Bacteria; Bacillati; Actinomycetota; Actinomycetes; Actinomycetales
Description: partial 16S ribosomal RNA
Rfam family: Bacterial small subunit ribosomal RNA
Source: RNAcentral
UGUGCCAGCCGCCGCGGUAAUACGUAGGGUGCGAGCGUUGUCCGGAAUUAUUGGGCGUAAAGAGCUUGUAGGCGGUUUGUCGCGUCUGCUGUGAAAGCCCGGGGCUUAACCCUGGGUCUGCAGUGGGUACGGGCAGGCUAGAGUGUGGUAGGGGAGACUGGAAUUCCUGGUGUAGCGGUGGAAUGCGCAGAUAUCAGGAGGAACACCGAUGGCGAAGGCAGGUCUCUGGGCCAUUACUGACGCUGAGAAGCGAAAGCGUGGGGAGCGAACA